This 253-nucleotide ribosomal RNA is filed under the name uncultured bacterium. Its description in RNAcentral is "partial 16S ribosomal RNA". It matches the Rfam family "Bacterial small subunit ribosomal RNA", at positions 524 to 776 of the family's 1533-position model. The record is from RNAcentral.
UACGAAGGGGGCUAGCGUUGCUCGGAAUCACUGGGCGUAAAGCGCACGUAGGCGGCUUUUUAAGUCAGAGGUGAAAUCCUGGAGCUCAACUCCAGAACUGCCUUUGAUACUGAGAAGCUUGAGUUCGGGAGAGGUGAGUGGAACUGCGAGUGUAGAGGUGAAAUUCGUAGAUGUUCGCAAGAACACCAGUGGCGAAGGCGGCUCACUGGCCCGAUACUGACGCUGAGGUGCGAAAGCGUGGGGAGCAAACAGG